CCCUUAGAUGUCCUGGGCCGCACGCGCGCUACAAUGAUGCAACCAACGAGUGCUGCUCCUUGGCCGAGAGGCCCGGGGAACCUUGCAAACUGCAUCGUGCUGGGGAUAGAUGAUUGCAAUUCUUCAUCUUGAACGAGGAAUGCCUUGUAAGCGUGAGUCAUCAACUCGCGCUGAAUACGUCCCUGCCCUUUGUACACACCGCCCGUCGCUCCUACCGAUUGAGUGGUCCGGUGAGGCUUUGGGAUCUGAGCGGAAAGAGCGUUUCGCUGUUUCUGCCCGGAAAACUCAGUCGAACCUUAUCAUUUAGAGGAAGGAGAAGUCGUAACA
Molecule: ribosomal RNA, 327 nt
Filed under: uncultured eukaryote
Lineage: Eukaryota
Description: partial 18S ribosomal RNA
Rfam family: Eukaryotic small subunit ribosomal RNA
Source: RNAcentral